RNAcentral lists this ribosomal RNA (448 nucleotides) under uncultured bacterium. RNAcentral's name for it is "bacterial SSU rRNA". It matches the Rfam family "Bacterial small subunit ribosomal RNA", at positions 329 to 793 of the family's 1533-position model. The record is from RNAcentral.
UGCCAGACUCCUACGGGAGGCAGCAGUGGGGGAUAUUGCACAAUGGGGGAAACCCUGAUGCAGCGACGCCGCGUGAGUGAAGAAGUAUUUCGGUAUGUAAAGCUCUAUCAGCAGGGAAGAAAAAAGACGGUACCUGACUAAGAAGCCCCGGCUAACUACGUGCCAGCAGCCGCGGUAAUACGUAGGGGGCAAGCGUUAUCCGGAUUUACUGGGUGUAAAGGGAGCGUAGACGGUUCUGCAAGUCUGAAGUGAAAGCCCGUGGCUUAACCGCGGAACGGCUUUGGAAACUGUGGAGCUGGAGUGCUGGAGAGGCAAGCGGAAUUCCUAGUGUAGCGGUGAAAUGCGUAGAUAUUAGGAGGAACACCAGUGGCGAAGGCGGCCUGCUGGACUGCAACUGACGUUGAGGCUCGAAGGCGUGGGGAGCAAACAGGAUUAGAUACCCCGGUAG